Molecule: ribosomal RNA, 867 nt
Filed under: Neogyromitra brunnea
Lineage: Eukaryota; Fungi; Ascomycota; Pezizomycetes; Pezizales; Discinaceae
Description: LSU rRNA
Rfam family: Eukaryotic large subunit ribosomal RNA
Source: RNAcentral
GUACCCGCUGAACUUAAGCAUAUCAAUAAGCGGAGGAAAAGAAACCAACAGGGAUUGCCUCAGUAACGGCGAGUGAAGCGGCAACAGCUCAAAUUUUAAAGCUGGCGUCCUCGACGCCCGCGUUGUAAUUUGGAGAGGCAUCUUCGGUUUGGGCGCCAGCCUAUGUUCCUUGGAACAGGACGUCACAGAGGGUGAGAAUCCCGUGCUUGGCUGGCUGUCCCUCUCCAUGUGAAGUGUCUUCGACGAGUCGAGUUGUUUGGGAAUGCAGCUCAAAAUGGGUGGUAAAUUUCAUCUAAAGCUAAAUAUCGGCGGGAGACCGAUAGCGCACAAGUAGAGUGAUCGAAAGAUGAAAAGCACUUUGAAAAUAGAGUUAAAAAGUACGUGAAAUUGUUGAAAGGGAAGCGCUUGAGACCAGACUCGGCCGACGGCGAUCAGCGGCCCUUCUGGGCUGUGCACUCGUCAUCGGUUCGGGCCAGCAUCGGUCGAGACGGCGGGAUAAAGGCCCGAGGAAUGUGGCUCCUCUCGGGGAGUGUUAUAGCCUCGGGUGCAAUGCCGCCAGCCUCGACCGAGGACCGCGCUCUUUUGCUAGGAUGCAGGCGUAAUGAUCUUCAGCGACCCGUCUUGAAACAUGGACCAAGGAGUCUAACAUCUAUGCGAGUGUUUGGGUGUCAAACCCUUGCGCGUAAUGAAAGUGAACGGAGGUGGGAACCCCUCCUCUGGGGGGGCGCACCAUCGACCGAUCCUGAUGUCUUCGGAUGGAUUUGAGUAGGAGCAUAGCUGUUGGGACCCGAAAGAUGGUGAACUAUGCCUGAAUAGGGUGAAGCCAGAGGAAACUCUUACCGUUACUAGUGGGCCAUUUUUGGUAAG